CCUACGGGUGGCAGCAGUGAGGAAUAUUGGUCAAUGGACGAGAGUCUGAACCAGCCAAGUAGCGUGAAGGAUGACUGCCCUAUGGGUUGUAAACUUCUUUUAUAUGGGAAUAAAAUGUUCCACGUGUGGGCUUUUGUAUGUACCAUAUGAAUAAGGAUCGGCUAACUCCGUGCCAGCAGCCGCGGUAAUACGGAGGAUCCGAGCGUUAUCCGGAUUUAUUGGGUUUAAAGGGAGCGUAGGUGGAUUGUUAAGUCAGUUGUGAAAGUGUGCGGCUCAACCGUAAAAUUGCAGUUGAAACUGGCAGUCUUGAGUACAGUAGAGGUGGGCGGAAUGCGUGGUGUAGCGGUGAAAUGCUUAGAUAUCACGAAGAACUCCGAUUGCGAAGGCAGCUCACUGGACUGCAACUGACACUGAGGCUCGAAAGUGUGGGUAUCAAACAGGAUUAGAUACCCUUGUAGUC
RNAcentral lists this ribosomal RNA (460 nucleotides) under uncultured bacterium. RNAcentral describes it as "partial 16S ribosomal RNA". It matches the Rfam family "Bacterial small subunit ribosomal RNA", at positions 338 to 795 of the family's 1533-position model. The record is from RNAcentral.